AAUGAACGCUGGCGGCGUGCCUCAAACAUGCAAGUCGAGCGGGGCUAUGUAAUAUCGCAAGGUAGAACAUAGCCUAGCGGCGAACGGGUGAGUAACACGUGGGUAACCUGCCUGGAAGACAGGGAUAACGAUUCGAAAGGGUCGCUAAUACCUGAUAAUAUCCUUUCAUCGCAUGGUGAUAGGAAGAAAGGGGAAACCCGCUUUCAGAUGGGCCCGCGUCCCAUCAGCUAGUUGGUAAGGUAAAGGCUUACCAAGGCGACGACGGGUAGCCGGUCUGAGAGGAUGUACGGCCACACUGGGACUGAGAUACGGCCCAGACUCCUACGGGAGGCAGCAGUUGGGAAUCUUAGGCAAUGGACGAAAGUCUGACCUAGCGACGCCGCGUGAGGGAAGAAGGCCUUCGGGUUGUAAACCUCUGUCAUGGGGGAAGAAGUAAGUGACGGUACCCCAAGAGGAAGCCCCUGCUAACUACGUG
RNAcentral lists this ribosomal RNA (475 nucleotides) under uncultured bacterium. RNAcentral's name for it is "bacterial SSU rRNA". It matches the Rfam family "Bacterial small subunit ribosomal RNA", at positions 29 to 507 of the family's 1533-position model. The record is from RNAcentral.